CUGUGUGGUAUCUCCAUAACGGUAAGUUCUGUUUAUCUAUUGGUGUAGUAUCUCCGUAAUGGUGAGCUCUCUAGUAUCUCCAUAACGGUGAGCUGUGUGGUAUCUCCGUAACAGUGAGCUGUGUGGUAUCUCCGUAAUCGUGAGCUGUGUGGUUCUCUUGGUGUUGGUAUCUGUAAUGGUAAGCUCUAGUAUCUCCAUAAUGGUGAGCUGUGUGGUAUCUCCAUAACGGUAAGUUCUGUUUAUCUAUUGGUGUAGUAUCUCCGUAAUGGUGAGCUGUCUGGUAUCUCCUUAAUGGUAAGUUCUGUUUCUCGGUAUGCUAUCUCCGUAAUGGUGAGCUGUGUGGUUCUCUUGGUGUGGCAUCUGUAAUGGUAAGCUCUAGUAUCUCCGUAAUGGUGAGCUGUGUGGUAUCUCUUGGUGUUGGUAUCUGUAAUGGUAAGCUCUAGUAUCUUCAUAAUGGUGAGCUGUGUGGUAUCUCCGUAAUGGUGAGCUGUGUGGUAUCUCCAUAACGGUAAGUUCUGUUUAUCUAUUGGUGUAGUAUCUCUGUAAUGGUGAGCUGUGUGGUUCUCUUGGUGUGGCAUCUGUAAUGGUGAGCUGUGUGGUUCUCUUAGUGUUGGUAUCUGUAAUGGUAAGCUCUAGUAUCUCCAUAAUGGUGAGCUGUGUGGUAUCUAUAAUGGUAAGCUCUAGUAUCUCCGUAACGGUAAGCUGUGUGUUUAACUCUUGGUGUGGUAUCUGUAAUGGUAAGCUCUAGUAUCUCCGUAAUGGUGAGCUGUGUGGUAUCUCCGUAAUGGUGAGCUGUGUGGUUCUCUUGGUGUUGGUAUCUGUAAUGGUAAGCUCUAGUAUCUCCAUAACGGUGAGCUGUGUGGUAUCUCCAUAACAGUGAGCUGUGUGGUAUCUCCGUAAUGGUGAGCUGUGUGGUUCUCUUGGUGUUGGUAUCUGUAAUGGUAAGCUCUAGUAUCCCCGUAAUGGUGAGCUGUGUGGUGUCUCCAUAAUGGUGAGCUGUGUGGUUAUCUCUUGGUGUGGUGUCUCCAUAAUGGUGAGCUGUGUGGUUAUCUCUUGGUGUGGUAAUGGUAAACUGUGUGGUUAUCUCUUGGUGUGGUAAUGGUAAACUGUGUGGUUAUCUCUUGGUGUGGUAAUGGUAAACUGUGUGGUUAUCUCUUGGUGUGGUAAUG
Molecule: long non-coding RNA, 1169 nt
Organism: Oncorhynchus tshawytscha (Chinook salmon)
Lineage: Eukaryota; Metazoa; Chordata; Actinopteri; Salmoniformes; Salmonidae
Source: Ensembl